UCGCUUUGUCCAAAAUCAAUACAUAUGAAAUUUGAGGGAAAGCAUAUAUCUAGCACAUAUAACUGCCUAAUAUGGAUCCAAAAUACAUGUCAAUAGUGAUCACUUAAUCCAAAAUCAUUAAAUACGAAAUCUGAGGAAAGGCAUAUAUCUAGCACAAGUAAAAUUAAAAAUAUUAAUUUUACUUUUGUGGAUAACUUUUAGCUCUUCUCUUAUAUAUAUAUUUCAUUUUUCUUUUAUUUUUAGUGCUAUGUUAAUCCUUUUUUUUCUAAGAAAAUCUACAUAUUUUAAUCCAAAGAAUAGUAUCACAAUACAAAAAUAAGAAAGACCAAUCUAAGGUUACGAUAUCUUGAUCUAGAAGUAGACAUGAGUCCUCGUAUCGUCUACCACUUAAACCCCAUUUUGUACCUUGUUGUUAUCACCAUGUCACCAUGUUUUCAUUUUUCGUGGGGUGCUUCUCAAGUUGUUAUGGGGCUUGUAAGUGUUCUGUUAAGUUUUAAAAUGAGCUUCUUACUUUCCUUCCUUGAACUAUUACCACUACAACAAAUAAUCAUAUUUCAGCAAAUUGAAAAUUAAUAUAGUCCACUUUAAAACAAAAUUGACCUAAUUCAUUAGGUUUACCUUUUACUGCAUAGAAGUACGUAGAUUUUGCCAGUAUCUAAAAGAACAAAAAAAAAGAGAAAAUUAUGAAUAGGUUAAAGAAAAAGGUUCAAAUAAAACAUAAAAGCAAGCUAUGAUUUGAGUCAUUAAGAGUCGGUUGUUUUUCAUCUCACUAACCAUGAUUUUCCACUUUGCAGGAAGUUUUGCCAUAUGAAAAUUUGCACUCAUCUUUUUCUCUCUCAGAUGCUAUUGAUGUGCAAAUGUUUAGCAAGAUAUAGAAUUGACUUCUUCUUUUUUGAACUAUGAAUUGACUUUCAGAUAGAGGGAGAAUCACUGAAGCCAUUGAACUUGAAUUUACAUAACGUAGAGUAAAAUCUUUUAUAAGAAAAGAUUAGCGGUUUCAAUAAUCGUAAGGAGAUCGUGGUGUAGUAUGAGAAAUAAUAGGAUUUUAUUUAUAUUAAAAGUAAACAGAAUAAAUUAAUAAACGAAACUGUUUCUUACAGAUAAA
Molecule: long non-coding RNA, 1105 nt
Filed under: Brassica napus (rape)
Lineage: Eukaryota; Viridiplantae; Streptophyta; Magnoliopsida; Brassicales; Brassicaceae
Description: long non-coding RNA (BNAP_LNC011877)
Source: RNAcentral